GUGCUUGCUUCAGCAGUACAUAGACUAAAAUUGGAACGAUACAGAUAAGAUUAGCAUGGCCCCUGCGCAAGGACGACACGCAAGUUCCGUAUUUUGAAACUGUUCUG
Small nuclear RNA from Ochotona princeps (American pika), 107 nucleotides. The record is from Ensembl. NCBI's taxonomy places the organism in Eukaryota, Metazoa, Chordata, Mammalia, Lagomorpha, Ochotonidae.